RNAcentral lists this ribosomal RNA (486 nucleotides) under uncultured bacterium. RNAcentral describes it as "partial 16S ribosomal RNA". It matches the Rfam family "Bacterial small subunit ribosomal RNA", at positions 30 to 507 of the family's 1533-position model. The record is from RNAcentral.
AUUGAACGCUGGCGGCAUGCCUUACACAUGCAAGUCGAACGGCAGCACGGGUGCUUGCACCUGGUGGCGAGUGGCGAACGGGUGAGUAAUACAUCGGAGCAUCUCCUGUAGUGGGGGAUAGCCCGGCGAAAGCCGGAUUAAUACCGCAUACGAUCUACGGAUGAAAGCGGGGGACCUUCGGGCCUCGCGCUAUAGGGUUGGCCGAUGGCUGAUUAGCUAGUUGGUGGGGUAAAGGCCUACCAAGGCGACGAUCAGUAGCUGGUCUGAGAGGACGACCAGCCACACUGGGACUGAGACACGGCCCAGACUCCUACGGGAGGCAGCAGUGGGGAAUUUUGGACAAUGGGCGAAAGCCUGAUCCAGCAAUGCCGCGUGUGUGAAGAAGGCCUUCGGGUUGUAAAGCACUUUUGUCCGGAAAGAAAUCCUUGGCCCUAAUACGGUCGGGGGAUGACGGUACCGGAAGAAUAAGCACCGGCUAACUACGUG